This 521-nucleotide ribosomal RNA is filed under the name uncultured fungus. Its description in RNAcentral is "eukaryotic LSU rRNA". The stretch from base 154 to 307 matches the Rfam family "5.8S ribosomal RNA". The record is from RNAcentral. Lineage: Eukaryota; Fungi.
AGUCGUACAGGUUUCCGUAGGUGAACCUGCGGAAGGAUCAUUAUUGAUUGGUCGAAAGACCUUAUCAGAUUCUACCACCUCUGUGAACCGUUGACCUCCGGGUUAAUAAUCAAACAUCAGUGUAACGAACGUAAGAGUAUCUUAAUUAAACAAAACUUUUAACAACGGAUCUCUUGGCUCUCGCAUCGAUGAAGAACGCAGCGAAAUGCGAUAAGUAAUGUGAAUUGCAGAAUUCAGUGAAUCAUCGAAUCUUUGAACGCACCUUGCGCCUUUUGGUAUUCCGAAAGGCAUGCCUGUUUCAGUGUCAUGAAAUCUCAAUCUAAUAUGUUUUCUGAACAUGUUAGGCUUGGACUUGGGUGUCUGCCAGCAAUGGCUCACCUCAAAUGACUUAGUGGAACAUCCCACAUCAGUGUUAGACGUAAUAAGUUUCGUCUCUCCUUGUGGUGAUGACUGCUCAAAACCUGCCAUCGCGCACCUUUUGACUUUGACCUGAAAUCAGGUAGGGCUACCCGCUGAACUUA